RNAcentral lists this long non-coding RNA (689 nucleotides) under Nicotiana tabacum (common tobacco). Its description in RNAcentral is "long non-coding RNA (NTAB_LNC018039)". The record is from RNAcentral. Lineage: Eukaryota; Viridiplantae; Streptophyta; Magnoliopsida; Solanales; Solanaceae.
CUCCACGCGAACGCGAUGAACAAUGCGUGCCUCAGCACAAUCUCCCCUCCUUCUACGCGAUCGCGAUACAUUACCCGCGUUUGCAGUGCACAACAUUCCAACCUUCCGCGAACGCGUCCUCAUUUAUGCAAUCGUGAAGAGCAAUUACCAUCUGCCAACAAGGACCCUACGCGAUCGCGGCUGAACCUUGGCGAACACAGUGAAGGAAACCAUAAGCACAGAAAACCAACAAUCUCAAUACAUGAACAAAUGGUCUAAACCCAAUCCGAAACACACCCGGGGCCCUCGGGACCCCCUUUGAACAUACCAACAAGUCCUAAAACACGAUACGAAUUCGGUCGAAGCCUCAAAUCACAUCAAACAACACCAAAACCACGAAUCGCACAUCUAUUCAAGCCUAAUGAACUAACUUCCAACUUCUAAAACUAAUGCCGAAACAUACCAAACCAACUCCAAAUGACUUCAAAUUUUGCACACAAGUCAUAAAUGACACAACGGACCUAUUCCAGCUUCCGAAGCCGAAAUCCGUACCCGACAUCAAUAAAGUCAACUCUCAGUCAAACUUCUCUACCUUCCAAACCUUUAACUUUUCAACUUUCACCAAUUCAGGCCAAAACGACCUACGAACCUUCAAAUCAACUUCCGGACAUACAUCUAAGUCCAAAAUCACCAUACGAAGCUAUCGGAAC